Molecule: long non-coding RNA, 827 nt
Organism: Daktulosphaira vitifoliae (grape phylloxera)
Lineage: Eukaryota; Metazoa; Arthropoda; Insecta; Hemiptera; Phylloxeridae
Exons: 3
Source: RefSeq, a predicted model, not a curated record
AAUUUAUUAACUUUCUAAACUCUUUGUCCUCUACUACACUAAAUGGGUGGUAUUCUUUUACUAUCAUUCUUACGAGUUGUUGGUCGAUAGAUUUUGAUUUACUAAAAGGCAGUGGUCGUUGAAUAAAAUUUGUAAUAGCCAAUUGGUUAUGUAUAUUGAUUGAUGGUGAAGAUGUAGUUUGAAUUAAUGAAUUACCUGGAGGAUGAGUUAAUGAAAUUGGAUUUGAUGCUAAUGGUUGUGGAUUGUCAAUAUUUUCAGAAUUACUUUCAUAUACCUAUUUAAAAUUCAAUCCAGAAAACCUGCUUGCAAAAGGGUUAAAUCCUAUUAUAAUCUACUGCUAUGCGGCAAAGAAAAAAAAGUCUAACUAGCUCAGCGCAAUGGAAUUGAACCUCUCUGUCUUUAUUCUGAAGUAAAAAGAGGAUCAGAAACUUAUAUUCAAUAUAAACAUGGAAUAUUUUUUUAACACUUGAAAGUUGGAAUGAAGAUUAUCAUGAAAUAAAACUUUCAUUAAAGGAAGAAAAUCAUAUUUUAUUUUUAUAUUAUGCAUAAAUGUAUAGCCUAUUAUAAAUUAUUUGUAUUUUAAAUAACCAUGAUAGUUCGAUGUAAUGGUACUGUAACAUGUCGUAUUUUAAUAUGUCGAGUUAAGUUACCAGUUGAUCCACCACUAUAACUUUUCGAUUCAUUGCAAUAAUUACAUUUUGCAACAUUUUGUGCUAUUAAUGUAUAAUGAUUCCAAAUAUCACUACGUUUUUUAUUUAAAUUUGUUUUUGAAGCCAUGAUCUAUUAAUUUAUAAAUUAUGCCUAAUAUAUUUUUAUAAUUAUUAUCA